RNAcentral lists this ribosomal RNA (428 nucleotides) under uncultured prokaryote. RNAcentral describes it as "bacterial SSU rRNA". It matches the Rfam family "Bacterial small subunit ribosomal RNA", at positions 355 to 774 of the family's 1533-position model. The record is from RNAcentral.
UGGGGAAUAUUGCGCAAUGGGCGAAAGCCUGACGCAGCGACGCCGCGUGGGUGAUGAAGGCCUUCGGGUUGUAAAGCCCUGUCGGGUGGAACGUAUCUCCUUCCCGCUAAUACCGAGGAGGAUUGACGGUACCACCGAAGGAAGCCCCGGCUAACUACGUGCCAGCAGCCGCGGUAAUACGUAGGGGGCGAGCGUUGUUCGGAUUUACUGGGCGUAAAGAGCGCGUAGGUGGUUCGACAAGUCGGAGGUGAAAGCCCUCGGCGCAACCGAGGAUCCGCGUCCGAUACGAUCGAACUUGAGUGCAGGAGAGGAGAGCGGAAUUCCGAGUGUAGCGGUGAAAUGCGUAGAUAUUCGGAGGAACACCGGUGGCGAAGGCGGCUCUCUGGACUGCUACUGACACUGAGGCGCGAAAGCUAGGGGAGCAAACG